RNAcentral lists this ribosomal RNA (253 nucleotides) under uncultured bacterium. RNAcentral's name for it is "partial 16S ribosomal RNA". It matches the Rfam family "Bacterial small subunit ribosomal RNA", at positions 524 to 776 of the family's 1533-position model. The record is from RNAcentral.
UACGUAGGUGGCAAGCGUUGUCCGGAAUUAUUGGGCGUAAAGCGCGCGCAGGCGGUCUCUUAAGUCUGAUGUGAAAUCCCGUGGCUUAACCACGGGCGGUCAUUGGAAACUGGGGGACUUGAGUGCAGAAGAGAAGAGCGGAAUUCCACGUGUAGCGGUGAAAUGCGUAGAGAUGUGGAGGAACACCAGUGGCGAAGGCGGCUCUUUGGUCUGUAACUGACGCUGAGGCGCGAAAGCCAGGGGAGCAAACGGG